RNAcentral lists this ribosomal RNA (253 nucleotides) under uncultured bacterium. RNAcentral describes it as "partial 16S ribosomal RNA". It matches the Rfam family "Bacterial small subunit ribosomal RNA", at positions 524 to 776 of the family's 1533-position model. The record is from RNAcentral.
UACGAAGGGGGCUAGCGUUGCUCGGAAUCACUGGGCGUAAAGGGCGCGUAGGCGGAUCUUUAAGUCAGGGGUGAAAUCCUGGAGCUCAACUCCAGAACUGCCUUUGAUACUGGCGAUCUUGAGUCCGGGAGAGGUGAGUGGAACUGCGAGUGUAGAGGUGAAAUUCGUAGAUAUUCGCAAGAACACCAGUGGCGAAGGCGGCUCACUGGCCCGGUACUGACGCUGAGGUGCGAAAGCGUGGGGAGCAAACAGG